RNAcentral lists this ribosomal RNA (301 nucleotides) under uncultured bacterium. Its description in RNAcentral is "partial 16S ribosomal RNA". It matches the Rfam family "Bacterial small subunit ribosomal RNA", at positions 509 to 807 of the family's 1533-position model. The record is from RNAcentral.
CAGUCGCCACGGGAAUACGCAGGGGGCUAGCGUUGCCCGGAAUUACUGGGCGUAAAGGGAGCGUAGGCGGGUCGUUUAGUCAGAGGUGAAAUCCCGGGGCUCAACCUCGGAACUGCCUUUGAUACUGGCGACCUUGAGUAUGGGAGAGGUAAGCGGAACUCCGAGUGUAGAGGUGAAAUUCGUAGAUAUUCGGAAGAACACCAGUGGCGAAGGCGGCUUACUGGCCCAUUACUGACGCUGAGGCUCGAAAGCGUGGGGAGCAAACAGGAUUAGAUACCCCUGUAGUCCCUGUCUCUUAUAC